UGGUCCACUGGCUUAAGACUCUGCACUCCCAAUGCAGGGGCCUGGGUUCGAUCCCCAG
This 58-nucleotide transfer RNA is filed under the name Bos taurus (domestic cattle). It matches the Rfam family "tRNA", at positions 8 to 63 of the family's 71-position model. Rfam says of the family: Transfer RNA (tRNA) molecules are approximately 80 nucleotides in length. Their secondary structure includes four short double-helical elements and three loops (D, anti-codon, and T loops). Further hydrogen bonds mediate the characteristic L-shaped molecular structure. tRNAs have two regions of fundamental functional importance: the anti-codon, which is responsible for specific mRNA codon recognition, and the 3' end, to which the tRNAs corresponding amino acid is attached (by aminoacyl-tRNA synthetases). tRNAs cope with the degeneracy of the genetic code in two manners: having more than one tRNA (with a specific anti-codon) for a particular amino acid; and 'wobble' base-pairing, i.e. permitting non-standard base-pairing at the 3rd anti-codon position. The record is from Rfam by way of RNAcentral. Lineage: Eukaryota; Metazoa; Chordata; Mammalia; Artiodactyla; Bovidae. RNAcentral also lists the same sequence under 4 other names.